RNAcentral lists this ribosomal RNA (254 nucleotides) under uncultured bacterium. RNAcentral describes it as "partial 16S ribosomal RNA". It matches the Rfam family "Bacterial small subunit ribosomal RNA", at positions 524 to 776 of the family's 1533-position model. The record is from RNAcentral.
UACGAAGGGGGCUAGCGUUGCUCGGAAUCACUGGGCGUAAAGCGCACGUAGGCGGCUUCUUAAGUCAGGGGUGAAAUCCUGGAGCUCAACUCCAGAACUGCCUUUGAUACUGAGGAGCUUGGAGUCCGGAAGAGGUGAGUGGAACUGCGAGUGUAGAGGUGAAAUUCGUAGAUAUUCGCAAGAACACCCGUGGCGCAAGCGACCACCUGGCCGAGACCUGACGCUGAGGCACGAGAGCGUGGGGAGCGAACCGG